ACCAUGCAAGUCGAGCGGUAGAGAGAAGCUUGCUUCUCUUGAGAGCGGCGGACGGGUGAGUAAUGCCUAGGAAUCUGCCUGGUAGUGGGGGAUAACGUUCGGAAACGGACGCUAAUACCGCAUACGUCCUACGGGAGAAAGCAGGGGACCUUCGGGCCUUGCGCUAUCAGAUGAGCCUAGGUCGGAUUAGCUAGUUGGUGGGGUAAUGGCUCACCAAGGCGACGAUCCGUAACUGGUCUGAGAGGAUGAUCAGUCACACUGGAACUGAGACACGGUCCAGACUCCUACGGGAGGCAGCAGUGGGGAAUAUUGGACAAUGGGCGAAAGCCUGAUCCAGCCAUGCCGCGUGUGUGAAGAAGGUCUUCGGAUUGUAAAGCACUUUAAGUUGGGAGGAAGGGUUGUAGAUUAAUACUCUGCAAUUUUGACGUUACCGACAGAAUAAGCACCGGCUAACUCUGUGCCAGCAGCCGCGGUAAUACAGAGGGUGCAAGCGUUAAUCGGAAUUACUGGGCGUAAAGCGCGCGUAGGUGGUUUGUUAAGUUGGAUGUGAAAUCCCCGGGCUCAACCUGGGAACUGCAUUCAAAACUGACUGACUAGAGUAUGGUAGAGGGUGGUGGAAUUUCCUGUGUAGCGGUGAAAUGCGUAGAUAUAGGAAGGAACACCAGUGGCGAAGGCGACCACCUGGACUAAUACUGACACUGAGGU
RNAcentral lists this ribosomal RNA (705 nucleotides) under Pseudomonas sp. Y4_580_1. RNAcentral describes it as "bacterial SSU rRNA". It matches the Rfam family "Bacterial small subunit ribosomal RNA", at positions 53 to 752 of the family's 1533-position model. Lineage: Bacteria; Pseudomonadati; Pseudomonadota; Gammaproteobacteria; Pseudomonadales; Pseudomonadaceae. The record is from RNAcentral.